AAUCAACGCUGGCGGCGUGCCUAACACAUGCAAGUCGAGCGCGAAAGGGGGGCAGCUCCCAAGUAGAGCGGCGAACGGGUGAGUAACGCGUGGGUAAUCUACCUUCGAGUGGGGAAUAACCCCGGGAAACUGGGGCUAAUACCGCAUGACAUCGUCGGGUCUUCGGAUCUGACGAUCAAAGCCGGGGACCGCAAGGCCUGGCGCUUGAAGAGGAGCCCGCGUCCGAUUGGCUAGUUGGCGGGGUAACGGCCCACCAAGGCUUCGAUCGGUAGCCGGCCUGAGAGGGCGGACGGCCACACUGGGACUGAGACACGGCCCAGACUCCUACGGGAGGCAGCAGUGGGGAAUUUUUCGCAAUGGGGGAAACCCUGACGAAGCAACGCCGCGUGGAGGAUGAAGGCCUUCGGGUCGUAAACUCCUGUCGACCGGGACGAACGCUAUUGGGCCCAAUACGCCCGAUAGUCGACUGUACCGGUGGAGGAAGCCACGGCUAACUCUGUGC
Molecule: ribosomal RNA, 502 nt
Filed under: uncultured bacterium
Lineage: Bacteria
Description: bacterial SSU rRNA
Rfam family: Bacterial small subunit ribosomal RNA
Source: RNAcentral